RNAcentral lists this ribosomal RNA (1528 nucleotides) under uncultured bacterium. Its description in RNAcentral is "bacterial SSU rRNA". It matches the Rfam family "Bacterial small subunit ribosomal RNA". The record is from RNAcentral.
ACGACGAACGCUGGCGGCGUGCCUAACACAUGCAAGUCGAGCGGUAACGCGGGCGAACUUCGGUUUGCCUGGCGACGAGCGGCGGACGGGUGAGUAACGCGUGGAUAACCUACCCAUCAGACCGGGAUAACCUCGGGAAGCUGGGGCUAAUACCGGAUACGAACACCUUUACACAAGUAGAGGUGUUGAAAGGAGAGAUCCGCUGAUGGAUGGGUCCGCGUCCCAUUAGCUAGUUGGUGGGGUAAUGGCCUACCAAGGCGACGAUGGGUAGCCGGCCUGAGAGGGUGACCGGCCACACUGGGACUGAGACACGGCCCAGACUCCUACGGGAGGCAGCAGUGGGGAAUAUUCCGCAAUGGGCGAAAGCCUGACGGAGCGACGCCGCGUGAGGGAAGAAGGCCUUCGGGUUGUAAACCUCUGUUCUGUGGGAAGAAUUAAAAGACGGUACCACAGGAGCAAGCCCCGGCUAACUACGUGCCAGCAGCCGCGGUAAUACGUAGGGGGCGAGCGUUGUCCGGAAUCACUGGGCGUAAAGGGCGUGUAGGCGGCAUGCUAAGUUAGAAGUGAAAUUUCAGGGCUCAACUCUGAAACUGCUUCUAAAACUGGCAUGCUUGAGUGCAGGAGAGGGAAGUGGAAUUCCUGGUGUAGCGGUGAAAUGCGUAGAUAUCAGGAGGAACACUCGUGGCGAAGGCGGCUUCCUGGCCUGUUGCUGACGCUGAGGCGCGAAAGCGUGGGGAGCAAACAGGGUUAGAUACCCUGGUAGUCCACGCUGUAAACGAUGAGUGCUAGGUGUUGGUGGUAUCGAAUCCAUCAGUGCCGUAGCUAACGCGAUAAGCACUCCGCCUGGGGAGUACGGUCGCAAGACUGAAACUCAAAGGAAUUGACGGGGGCCCGCACAAGCGGUGGAGCAUGUGGUUUAAUUCGACGCAACGCGAAGAACCUUACCAGGGCUUGACAUCUACCUGACCGGUCUGGAAACAGGCUUUUCCCUUUUGGGACAGGUAGACAGGUGGUGCAUGGUUGUCGUCAGCUCGUGUCGUGAGAUGUUGGGUUAAGUCCCGCAACGAGCGCAACCCCUACCGCUAGUUGCUAACGUGUAAUGGCGAGGACUCUAGCGGAACUGCCGUCGCAAGACGGAGGAAGGUGGGGAUGACGUCAAAUCAUCAUGCCCCUUAUGUCCUGGGCUACACACGUGCUACAAUGGGCUGUACAGAGGGAAGCGAAGCCGUGAGGUGGAGCAAAACCCCAAAAGCAGGUCUAAGUUCGGAUUGCAGUCUGCAACUCGACUGCAUGAAGGCGGAAUCGCUAGUAAUCGCAGGUCAGCAUACUGCGUGAUACAGUUCCCGGGCAUUGUAACACCGCCCGUNCAGGCGAUUGCCGCCGUAUAUGGAAAGAAAAACGGNNNNUUUUUUUUUCUCUCUUUUUCUUUCUUCUUUUUCUUCUUUUUUUCUUUUUUUUCCUUUUUUUUUCUCUUCUCUUUCUCUUUCUUUCUUUUUGUUUUUUUUUUUCUUUUCUUUCUUUUUUCUUU